Molecule: ribosomal RNA, 768 nt
Filed under: human gut metagenome
Description: bacterial SSU rRNA
Rfam family: Bacterial small subunit ribosomal RNA
Source: RNAcentral
CUGACGCUGAUGCACGAAAGCGUGGGGAUCAAACAGGAUUAGAUACCCUGGUAGUCCACGCAGUAAACGAUGAUCACUAGCUGUUUGCGAUACACUGUAAGCGGCACAGCNAAANCNUUAAGGAGUGCGCCUGGGGAGUACGCGGGCAACGGUGAAACUCAAAGGAAUUGACGGGGGCCCGCACAAGCGGAGGAACAUGUGGUUUAAUUCGAUGAUACGCGAGGAACCUUACCCGGGUUUGAACGCAUUCGGACCGAGGUGGAAACACCUUUUCUAGCAAUAGCCGUUUGCGAGGUGCUGCAUGGUUGUCGUCAGCUCGUGCCGUGAGGUGUCGGCUUAAGUGCCAUAACGAGCGCAACCCUUGCCACUAGUUACUAACAGGUAAAGCUGAGGACUCUGGUGGGACUGCCAGCGUAAGCUGCGAGGAAGGCGGGGAUGACGUCAAAUCAGCACGGCCCUUACAUCCGGGGCGACACACGUGUUACAAUGGCGUGGACAAAGGGAAGCCACCUGGCGACAGGGAGCGAAUCCCCAAACCACGUCUCAGUUCGGAUCGGAGUCUGCAACCCGACUCCGUGAAGCUGGAUUCGCUAGUAAUCGCGCAUCAGCCAUGGCGCGGUGAAUACGUUCCCGGGCCUUGUACACACCGCCCGUCAAGCCAUGGGAGCCGGGGGUACCUGAAGUCCGUAACCGCGAGGAUCGGCCUAGGGUAAAACUGGUGACUGGGGCUAAGUCGUAACAAGGUAGCCGUACCGGAAGGUGCGGCUG